GAUGAAGAACGUAGCGAAAUGCGAUAAUUAAUGUGAAUUGCAGAAUUCAGUGAAUCAUCGAGUCUUUGAACGCACAUUGCGCCCCCUGGUAUUCCGGGGGGCAUGCCUGUCCGAGCGUCAUUGCUGCCCUCAAGCACGGCUUGUGUGUUGGGCUUCCGUCCCUGGCAACGGGGACGGGCCCAAAAGGCAGUGGCGGCACCAUGUCUGGUCCUCGAGCGUAUGGGGCUUUGUCACCCGCUCCCGUAGGUCCAGCUGGCAGCUAGCCUCGCAACCAAUCUUUUUAACCAGGUUGACCUCGGAUCAGGUAGGGAUACCCGCUGAACUUAAGCAUAUCAAUACGCGGAGGA
RNAcentral lists this unclassified non-coding RNA (347 nucleotides) under soil metagenome. RNAcentral describes it as "partial contains 5.8S ribosomal RNA, internal transcribed spacer 2, and large subunit ribosomal RNA". The stretch from base 1 to 120 matches the Rfam family "5.8S ribosomal RNA", at positions 35 to 154 of the family's 154-position model. The record is from RNAcentral.